AACGCGAAGAACCUUACCAGGACUUGACAUGCCACUUUUUCCUUCCAAGGGGAAGUUCCCGAAUGGACACAGGUGGUGCAUGGCUGUGGUCAGCUCGUGUCUUGAGAUGUUGGGUUAAGUCCAGCAACGAGCGCAACCCUUGUUUUGAGUUGCUAUUUUUAGGAAACUCAAAAGACUGCCGGUGAGAAACCGGAGGAAGGUGAGGAUGACAUCGAGUCAACAUGCCCCUUACGUCCUGGGCCACACACGUGCUACAAUGGCCGGGACAAAGAGAUGCAAUCCCGCGAGGGGGAGCCAACCUCAAAAACCCGGUCUCAGUUCGGAUUGUAGGCUGCAACUCGCCUACAUGAAGUCGGAAUCGCUAGUAAUCGCAGGUCAGACAUACUGCGGUGAAUACGUUCCCGGGUCUUGUACACACCG
Molecule: ribosomal RNA, 420 nt
Filed under: uncultured bacterium
Lineage: Bacteria
Description: bacterial SSU rRNA
Rfam family: Bacterial small subunit ribosomal RNA
Source: RNAcentral